RNAcentral lists this ribosomal RNA (465 nucleotides) under uncultured bacterium. RNAcentral's name for it is "partial 16S ribosomal RNA". It matches the Rfam family "Bacterial small subunit ribosomal RNA", at positions 339 to 795 of the family's 1533-position model. The record is from RNAcentral.
CUACGGGAGGCUGCAGUGGGGAAUAUUGGACAAUGGGGGCAACCCUGAUCCAGCAAUACCGCGUGUGUGAAGAAGGCCCGAGGGUUGUAAAGCACUUUCAGUAGGGAGGAUUGGUUUUACGGUUAAUACCCGUGAAGCUUGACGUUACCUACAGAAGAAGCACCGGCUAACUCAGUGCCAGCAGCCGCGGUAAUACUGAGGGUGCAAGCGUUAAUCGGAAUUACUGGGCGUAAAGCGCGCGUAGGUGGUUAGAUCAGUUGGGUGUGAAAGCCCCGGGCGCAACCUGGGAAUUGCAUCCAAAAAUGGUCGGGCUGGGGUAGGGUGGGGGGAGGGGAAAUUCGGAUGGUGGGGUUGAAUGGGGUAGGGAGGGGGGGGAAAACAAUGGGGAAAGGGGACUUUUGGACCAAAUAUUACCCCUGGGGGCGGAAACCGUGGGAGCAAACAGGAUUAGAUACCCGAGUAGUC